GUCUACGACCAUACCACGUUGAAAGCACGACAUCUCGUCCGAUCUGUCAAGUUAAGCAACGUGGGCCUGGUUAGUACUUGGAUCGGAGACGG
RNAcentral lists this ribosomal RNA (92 nucleotides) under Brugia malayi. The record is from RNAcentral. Lineage: Eukaryota; Metazoa; Nematoda; Chromadorea; Rhabditida; Onchocercidae.